ACAUGUGAUUUUUGGCUGUGGCAGUGCACUGUCAACAUGCUUUCUCUAAUGACCGAGGGGAAAAAUGUCCAGACCUUUGUACGUUAUUCUCUAAAAGACUACUGACGUGGCUUCAAAUGUCAGGCCACCCUGAUGUUUCUUUGCAUCUUUGAUUGCUUUAGGUGUAUUUUGGUGACAUGCAACACCAUUGGAAUCUUUCUCAAUAUUGCUACAAGAAAGUUAUCAUAAUGUUACUUAGCACCAUGGCAUUGCCAAAACAUCUGGAUGGUGUCAGGGGACUUCAGAGGAUGGGGAAAAAUAUCAUGGAAGUUCCUUGAAAGGUUUUAACUAUAAAGCUGGAAAAUGAAAGGAAAUUUAUUGAGCACUGUUAACCUGGUCCUUCCAUAGGCAGAUUUGCCUUUAAACAAAAGGUAUC
Long non-coding RNA from Harpia harpyja (harpy eagle), 415 nucleotides. RefSeq lists it as uncharacterized. The record is from RefSeq and is a predicted model, not a curated record. NCBI's taxonomy places the organism in Eukaryota, Metazoa, Chordata, Aves, Accipitriformes, Accipitridae. The transcript has 2 exons.